This is a long non-coding RNA of Alosa sapidissima (American shad), 405 nucleotides long. RefSeq lists it as uncharacterized. The transcript has 4 exons. The record is from RefSeq and is a predicted model, not a curated record. NCBI's taxonomy places the organism in Eukaryota, Metazoa, Chordata, Actinopteri, Clupeiformes, Clupeidae.
AACACCUUGCUAUCUGAGAGAACUGGACAUGAGUGACAAUGCCCUGCACAAUGAAGGAGUGGAGCUGCUCUGUGUGGGACUAAGAGAUCCACAAUGUAAGCUGGAGACACUGAGGCUGUCUGAUCACCCAGAAGGGCUGUUCUUUCUUGUCCUCUGUCCUCAAAUCAAACCCUUCCUACCUGAAAGAGCUGGAGAUGAACUACAAUCACCCAGGAGACUCAGGUGUCAAAGAGCUCACAGACAUACUGAAUGAUCCCAGCUGUAAACUAGAGACUUUCAGGUAAGAAGACGGAGAAAAUAACAGGUUUAAACCAGGACCGAGAAAAUAUGCAUGUGAGCUCACGCUGGACCCAAACACAGCACACAAACGUCUAUCUCUCCCUGAGGAGAACAGAAAGGUGACAU